RNAcentral lists this unclassified non-coding RNA (1576 nucleotides) under Hevea brasiliensis (rubber tree). The record is from RNAcentral. Lineage: Eukaryota; Viridiplantae; Streptophyta; Magnoliopsida; Malpighiales; Euphorbiaceae.
CGAGCUGGCAGUGGGACGGCGUCGUAUUUUUGAUAAUCCCUAUUUUCGUUUACGAGGAUCCGCUCACCGCAAGUGGAAAAGGAUUCCUUGAUCCCGGAAAUAAUUUUUCUACUUUCAAUCACAUUCACGGUACACGGGACCACAACGGAGAAGUAGAAAAGAAGAAAGGAACAGGACCAAGCGUUCCUCCCUUCUAAGCUUGCCAACAAUGGCGGCGACGAAGCGCAAAGGAACCAACUCUGACUCUGAUGGAAUGAACGCAAGGGUUUGGCUUUAUUCAAUUUUACUCACUCUUCAAUACGGAGCUCAGCCUCUGAUCUCCAAGCGUUUCACCAGGUAAGUUUCUUUUAUUUCAACUAGUUGUUCCGUUUCUUUCAUUUCAACUACUUGUUCCGUUGCUUUCAAAACGAUCGUGCAGCAAUGGAAUUAGAUGCCCAUGAAGAGUAUAGCUGUAAUUAAUUAUUUGAAAUUUGUCACAAUCUCUGUUGAAUCUGCAUCAAGUGAAAGAAUAAAAGCCUAAAUAAGGAAAAUUUUACGAAAAAAAAGAAGGGAUGGAAAUUCAUUUCCCUUUCCAUCUAUGUGUUUGGUGAGAUAGGAAAAAAGGGAGAACACCAGUUUAAUAGUCGUAAAAUUCAUUAUUAUUCUUUUACCUUCCCGUUCCGCUUCCUUUGGGACGGAAAGAAAAAGGUUUGGUGGAUUUUCAAGGAGAGUAACUGGAGACUGCAUGUAUGCAAAUUUGAAUUUGGUUUUGAACAUGUAUGUUUGUUUGCCCAAAUGUGGUUGCAGCAUGAUAACCCCAAAGCAAAAAUGAUCUACCGUUAUCAUUACUUUUGGCAUCAUUACUUUUUGCUUACUUCAUUGGACUGAUUACAAGAUGCUCUAUAUGUUUUGGGUGAUUUCACUUGAUUGUAUAUGGUGUCUGAGACUCUGAUUCACAUGUUGCAACUUCACCUGAUUUUUGGGCAAGUCAAUUGAGUAAAUUCAUAAUGGAGUUUAAAUAUGAUAUGCUUUGGAGUUUAGUAUGAACCAUUUUGUAUACAUAUUUUUACCUCUCUCUCCAGAUUAUGUGUUCAAAUCUAUGAGCUAAAAUGCGGGACACAUGGAAACUUGGGUUUGCAUAUCCAACCUUGCUUUUAAUUGUUUAUUUCAAGUCACAACCACCUUGGCAUUCUUCCUGUGGAUGAAAAUGUGUCAUUAUGUUAGAUAUGUUUUAUUAGUGGUUGAUAGGAAAAGCUUUAGCUUUUAUAUCUUAUUAUACUGCCUUGAAGGUUGCAGCUUCAGUAUUUGACCAAUUGCCUUGAGACCAAAUGAUAUAGGAUCUCAAGUAUCAGGUUUGAGCUUGAAGCACAUGUGGGGAGUGUUGCAGCAUCCCAUCUGUGGAAUUAUGGGAGUUUUGCAUUCUUGAUUGUGUUCUUGACAGGAUCUAUGGGCCAUUUUCUCACUUUCUAUCCAAAAUCAAGUUUAGUGUAUUUAGUACAUAAAUUGGUCAUGCUAGUUUUUAUUCCUUUUAUGUUAAGAAUGAAUGAUUGGCGUGUCAUCCUAUGAAAUGCUAGUGAACUCAUUGUGCAUUUUCAUG